This 2678-nucleotide long non-coding RNA is filed under the name Panax ginseng (ginseng). RNAcentral's name for it is "long non-coding RNA (PGIN_LNC000454)". Lineage: Eukaryota; Viridiplantae; Streptophyta; Magnoliopsida; Apiales; Araliaceae. The record is from RNAcentral.
UUUUUUGGAACAGAUCUAGUACUCCAUCGUCUGUGUGCGUGGUCUGGAAACAGUGAUCAUUUGGCUUUCACCUAUCUUCCUUGGCCAAAGUUCUAUGUUUCAAUUAGAGUGAUGGGCUAGCUAGGUUUCUUCUCUGGUUUCUCAUCUCUUCCUUAGCGAUAAUUUACGCGGGAUGAAUGAAAAACUUAGCGCUAAAUUUUGCCGUAAUUAGAGAUCGAUAAUUGAUUGUGCGAAGAAUGUUUCAUACUGCUAAAGGGAUUAUCAUUAAUCCCAAAAUUCCCCCCCCCCAACUUCAUCUUCCAAUCAAAAAAUCUACUCUUUCUAUCUCAAUUGCAGAUGCCCUAACUGCAAAGACCCAAAGACCUUUCAAUUUGUUCGAAGGUAUUUUUUUCUAACAACUUUGUUCCUCCUUAUUCCAUUACUUGCUAAAAUGACUUGUAUAAUUAGUUUUAUUGUCAAUGAAAUUGGUGAGAAGGGAAGGAAUCUUAAUUUUUUAAUUAUGCUUUAACUUCUUUUAGGAUUAGUUUGUUGAUUUAGUACUUGGGAAUCUUAAUCUUUUUUUUUAUGCUCAUUUGGGUCUUCUUGCUUCUUUUGUUGAUUUGGGUAGCAAGAACUGAUAUAUAUUGAUUCGGAGUUUUGAUGUUUUAAUUUGUAAGUAUGCAUAUUCUCAUAAAUGGAAAAUCCAAUUUUCUGGCAAUUUAUUGAAACCUAUUAUGUAGUUGUUCACACACAAAUAUUUGUUUUCUUUGUGAUUAGGCAUGAAGUUGCCAAUGUUUUUAUAAGAUUCUCAAAAUAUAUGUUAAGUCUAUCUAAAUUGUGGUCAAAAGUUGGGCUCUACCCUAUGAUAUUUUGUAGUUAGUGGUUUAACUCAAAACUUAACCAUAACAUGGUAUGGUAAUAUUAUUAUUAAUGCACCCUUGACUUUUAGCUUAUGUUCAGACAUUAGGUUGAGAACAAAGCUACUUGUGUUAUUUAUGUCACAAUAAUGAUCCACAAAAAUUAAGUGGAAUAACCUCACAAUUUUUGAACAAACAACAAAGUGUAGCAAAUUCUGAGAUCUUUCCCCUUGAAAAUUGUUUCUUCCAUUCACUCCCAUUGUCCUAUAAUACACUUCCUGUAAUGAAAAUAAGAGAAACUCCUGCCAAUAUGAAUUUUUGCAUAUAGUCGGUUUAUCACGUCAUUAACAUCACAUGUUGAUAGGCAAACAUGGAGUUGAUAUUAGUAAUUCUAAAGUUUUUUUGAUUUACAAUCUUUUAUUAUUUAUUAUGCUUGUAUUGCUUCUUAUAGAAAUUAACUGAAUAUGAAGUUCUUAAGUUUAAUUGUUCAAAUCAAAUUUUGGCUAACCACACAUCUGUCAUCAAUAACCAUUUCAAAUAGUUUUAUUUAUUUUUAGAAUUUUUUUUGGUUGAAAAAUCAGUUCAGGCGUAGGCAGCAGAGUACUUGAAAAAUAAAACACUUGAGCAUAAAAUACAUCGUUCUCCAGUUUAUAAAGAAAGAUGAUGUUUUGCAAGCAUUUUAUUCAGAAAUGGGAUUAAGAAGCAUAAUAAACGAAAAUUGUAAGAACACUGCAGCCUGCAAAAAUCACCUGCAACUCAAUGUUGAGGUGAGGUAUAUUCUACUUUCAUUUGUGCUCUUGGCAUAUACUAUUGGCUUACAGGACUUACUUACUAAUGCAGGUACGGUCUUUCUAUGCCAUGUAUUGUGCUGCUUGAAAUUGUAAACCGUUUGAUGCUGUAAGAGCUUCUCAUAGGGGGUUAAUACCUUGGAAAAUAUUUUGAUGAUAAUACUAACUCGUAAAUUGUCUAUUGAAAUCUAUUUCUUUCCAAAAUAAUUAGAAGUUGCUCACAUAAGCUUGGGCAUUCUUUAUAGAUGAUAUCCGUGACAGAUUUACGACCAAUUCAUUUAAUAAUUCCAUUUGUGGUACUCAUGCACAACAUUUUUUCUAGGAUAUCAAACUUAUGUAGUUGAAUGCUCAUCAUUUUACAAUACUACCAAUUCAUGAAUAAAUAAGGCCAUGUUUGUUUGUAAAAAAUGCUUGGGAUUGAACUAUUUGUCUUGAUUUAACACUAUUACGAACUGUUUUAUUCAUCAUGGUAGAUUAAUAGUUAUUUAAAUAGUUAUAUAGACAAUUUUUUAUUAUUCUUAAAGCUAUUUAUGAGGGAUUAUAUGAAUGUGGGAUUAAUAGUCCCCCAUAAGCUAUCAAAUGACUUUAUGGGUCUAAUGGUUUCACUUUGAGAGAUUAAUAGUCCUUCGUCAAAGGAUAAAAUAGUCCGAAGUUGUGUUAAAUUAAGACAAAAUAGUUUAAUCUUAAGCAUACUUUUUGCAAACAAACAUGGCCUAAAGAGUUAUAUAAAGUAUUCAGAUAUUUUGUAUUAUUUUCUAUUUAGAGAUGGCCCUGGAUUGGGCUUGUUAUUGAAUUUGGCGUUGUGUUGGGUCAGUAGUCAACUCUAUAUCACCCUGUUAAGGUAAUUUACAUUUCUACAUAUCAACAUACAUAGGUUGGCAGUAUCUCAUGUCCAGAUUUCAUUCCAGCACUGGGAACAAUAAACAUACAUGAAUUCCAGAAUUCUUAUUGGUUUACGCCAAAAUAAAAAUGUUGCGUAUAUUUCCAUAGUGAACUUUAUGUUAGUGGCACUAAUUCUCUUUAGAUGAGCUAUACUAAAUUCUACGGUUUGCAG